UGGACUUAGUAACGGCGAGUGAAGCGGCAAAAGCUCAAAUUUGAAAUCUGGUACCUUCGGUGCCCGAGUUGUAAUUUGGAGAGGGCAACUUUGGGGCCGUUCCUUGUCUAUGUUCCUUGGAACAGGACGUCAUAGAGGGUGAGAAUCCCGUGUGGCGAGGAGUGCGGUUCUUUGUAAAGUGCCUUCGAAGAGUCGAGUUGUUUGGGAAUGCAGCUCUAAGUGGGUGGUAAAUUCCAUCUAAAGCUAAAUAUUGGCGAGAGACCGAUAGCGAACAAGUACAGUGAUGGAAAGAUGAAAAGAACUUUGAAAAGAGAGUGAAAAAGUACGUGAAAUUGUUGAAAGGGAAGGGCAUUUGAUCAGACAUGGUGUUUUGUGCCCUCUGCUCCUUGUGGGUAGGGGAAUCUCGCAUUUCACUGGGCCAGCAUCAGUUUUGGUGGCAGGAUAAAUCCAUAGGAAUGUAGCUUGCCUCGGUAAGUAUUAUAGCCUGUGGGAAUACUGCCAGCUGGGACUGAGGACUGCGACGUAAGUCAAGGAUGCUGGCAUAAUGGUUAUAUGCCGCCCGUCUUGAACCCCCGGACACAA
RNAcentral lists this ribosomal RNA (582 nucleotides) under Saccharomyces cerevisiae (brewer's yeast). Its description in RNAcentral is "partial large subunit ribosomal RNA". It matches the Rfam family "Eukaryotic large subunit ribosomal RNA", at positions 73 to 664 of the family's 3401-position model. The record is from RNAcentral. Lineage: Eukaryota; Fungi; Ascomycota; Saccharomycetes; Saccharomycetales; Saccharomycetaceae.